UCUUCCACAAUGGGCGAAAGCCUGAUGGAGCAACGCCGCGUGAGUGAAGAAGGUUUUCGGAUCGUAAAACUCUGUUGUAAGGGAAGAACAAGUACAGUAGUAACUGGCUGUACCUUGACGGUACCUUAUUAGAAAGCCACGGCUAACUACGUGCCAGCAUCCGCGGUAAUACGUAGGUGGCAAGCGUUGUCCGGAAUUAUUGGGCGUAAAGCGCGCGCAGGCCGUCCUUUAAGUCUGAUGGUAAAGCCCACGGCUCCUCCGGGGAGGGUCAUUGGAAAAUGGGGGACUUGAGUGCAGAAGAGGAAAGUGGAAUUCCAAGUGUAGCGGUGAAAUGCGUAGAGAUUUGGAGGAACACCAGUGGCGAAGGCGACUUUCUGGUCUGUAACUGACGCUGAGGCGCGAAAGCGUGGGGAGCAAACA
Molecule: ribosomal RNA, 420 nt
Filed under: uncultured bacterium
Lineage: Bacteria
Description: partial 16S ribosomal RNA
Rfam family: Bacterial small subunit ribosomal RNA
Source: RNAcentral